RNAcentral lists this ribosomal RNA (772 nucleotides) under Anaerococcus hydrogenalis. RNAcentral's name for it is "bacterial SSU rRNA". It matches the Rfam family "Bacterial small subunit ribosomal RNA", at positions 1 to 952 of the family's 1533-position model. Lineage: Bacteria; Bacillati; Bacillota; Tissierellia; Tissierellales; Peptoniphilaceae. The record is from RNAcentral.
UUAAAUGAGAGUUUGAUCCUGGCUCAGGAUAAACGCUGGCGGCGUGCAUAACACAUGCAAGUCGAACGAUGAAACUUAGUUGAUUUCUUCGGAAUGAUUUUAAGUGGAUUAGUGGCGAACGGGUGAGUAACACGUGAGUAACCUGCCUUACACAAGGGGAUAGCCUUUGGAAACGAAGAAUAAUACCCUAUAAAGUCUAAUCAGCUCCUGCUGGAAAGACCAAAGAUUUAUCGGUGUAAGAUGGACUUGCGUCUGAUUAGCUAGUUGGUGAGAUAUCUUUUUUACGGGAUGAAAAUGACAGUACCGUAAGAAUAAGGUCCGGCUAAAUACGUGCCAGCAGCCGCGGUAAUACGUAUGGACCGAGCGUUGUCCGGAAUCAUUGGGCGUAAAGGGUACGUAGGCGGCCUAGUAAGUUAGGAGUGAAAGAAUAUAGCUCAACUAUAUAAAGCUUUUAAAACUGUUAGGCUUGAGAGAUGAAAGGGAAAGUGGAAUUCCUAGUGUAGCGGUGAAAUGCGCAGAUAUUAGGAAGAAUACCGGUGGCGAAGGCGACUUUCUGGUCAUCAUCUGACGCUGAGGUACGAAAGCGUGGGUAGCAAACAGGAUUAGAUACCCUGGUAGUCCACGCUGUAAACGAUGAGUGUUAGGUUCUUGGAAUAAUCUGGGAGCCGCAGCUAACGCAUUAAACACUCCGCCUGGGGAGUACGCACGCAAGUGUGAAACUCAAAGGAAUUGACGGGGACCCGCACAAGCAGCGGAGCAUGUGGUUUAAUUC